This 422-nucleotide ribosomal RNA is filed under the name uncultured bacterium. RNAcentral describes it as "bacterial SSU rRNA". It matches the Rfam family "Bacterial small subunit ribosomal RNA", at positions 355 to 774 of the family's 1533-position model. The record is from RNAcentral.
UGAGGAAUAUUGGGCAAUGCCCGCAAGGGUGACCCAGCAACGCCGCGUGGAGGAUGAAUGUCGUAAGAUUGUAAACUCCUGUUAGAGGGGAAGAAUAGUACCGGUUGGACCGGUAUAUGACUGUACCCUCAGAGAAAGCCCCGGCUAACUACGUGCCAGCAGCCGCGGUAAUACGUAGGGGGCAAGCGUUGUCCGGAUUUACUGGGUGUAAAGGGCGCGCAGGUGGGAUAAAAAGUCAGUGGUGAAAUCCUACAGCUUAACUGUAGAACUGCCUUCGAUACUUUUAUUCUUGAGUUCGGGAGAGAGAGACGGAAUUCCAGGUGUAGUGGUGAAAUACGUAGAUAUCUGGAAGAACACCAGUUGCGAAGGCGGUCUCUUGGUCCGACACUGACGCUGAGGCGCGAAAGCGUGGGGAGCAAACA